UACGGAGGGUGCAAGCGUUGUUCGGAAUCACUGGGCGUAAAGCGCGUGUAGGCGGCCUUCUCAGUCUGGUGUGAAAGCCCGGGGCUCACCCCCGGAAGUGCAUUGGAUACUGGAAGGCUGGAGUACCGGAGAGGAGGGUGGAAUUCCUGGUGUAGCGGUGAAAUGCGUAGAUAUCUGGAGGAACACCGGUGGCGGAGGCGGCAUCCUGGACCAACACUGACGCUGAGUGAGCGAAAGCCAGGGGAGCAAACGGG
RNAcentral lists this ribosomal RNA (254 nucleotides) under uncultured bacterium. RNAcentral describes it as "partial 16S ribosomal RNA". It matches the Rfam family "Bacterial small subunit ribosomal RNA", at positions 524 to 776 of the family's 1533-position model. The record is from RNAcentral.